Non-coding RNA from Biomphalaria pfeifferi, 2166 nucleotides. Lineage: Eukaryota; Metazoa; Mollusca; Gastropoda; Planorbidae. The record is from the annotation of a GenBank genome assembly.
CUUCGUUACCUUAUAAAAGACUUCAUUACCUUAUAAAAGACUUCGUUACCUUAUAAAAGACUUCGUUGCCUUAUAGACCUAUUUCUAUAUUGUACACAUAUUUAAUAACAUACAAUUUAAAAGUCUGAAUUUCUUCUUUGUUCUCUUUUUAUUAUGUUCAAAGGUUCGGAUCAUUAAUCGUAUAUCUGAGAUGAGCCGCGCAGUGAUUUCCUGAUCAGGUAGUUCUCCGUAUAGUUUUUCUUCUAUAGGAGGGUUUCGAGGCCCGAGUACUGUUCAUGCUUCUCGAUAGAGCAAGCAGCUUCGUAGGACAUGGUUAGAGUUCUCUGGUGACGCUGGGGCAAGUCCCGACUUUUAGCUUCCAGAACUCAUGUCUCAUUAUGUUGUGUCCUGAUCUCAGGCGAAAAAAUUAUGUGUUGGUCAUGUCGAGAUAUCUUAUAAUAGGCACCGUUUUAAUGAUAGAGUUGCAAAAGUUUUAAAAAUUAUUUUUGUUUAUGAAAUGCAGUUUCUUUUGUAGACAUAUUUGUUUCAGACACACACAAAAACCUGGCAACUAUAGAAGCAUACAUCCUAAAGUUUCAAUGUAGCUCUCUCGUCUCAUAUUUCAAAUAAAUAAAUGACGUUACAGUGACGUAAUAGUCGCUACAAAUGAAAUAUCAUUAAAAAUCCAAAGUAUGAAAGCAUUAUCUAAUGUGAUGAUACUCUACUGUUUAAUCCAGAUAAUGCUAAAAACACAACCUCUCGACUUCACAAACAACUAUCACUGGGCUUGAUCGUUAUAGAAGGCCUCUACAAGACCUGCGACGUCGCUACCUGUGGGCAGUGGAGACCAAAAGCACGUUGCCGCGUCAUACAGACUUGUGACGUGGAAACGAAGUACUGGUCUCCACCGCCCCACAAGUUGCGACGUUGCAGGUUAGUGUUUAGGUCUUCUAAGACGAUUGGUCUCGGCUUGAUCAGCAAGGCUAUCAAUUCAGUAUUUUAAAUCAGACCGUUGACUUGCUUUGUGCGAGUGGCUUAAACAUGCGCUGAACUUGAUGUUCUUGGUCCUUUUGGGCCUCAAGAUAACCACUAAAAUGUAUUAGUAUCAAGAACUUUUCUGAAAGACCCCUCUUGAGAUAAUCUUUUGUCCAAGCAUGCUAGCGUUUGUCUCUUCAUAGUACUGAGAAGGAAGUUUAAGUAACAUUACAAAAGCCCAUAGAGAGUUGGAUACACAUUGAAUAUACAGUACUUGUUACGUUUACUUUAUCAAGUAUAUACAUUUGUAGAAUGUAAUAUUUUGGAUUCAGUUUUUUUAAUUUUUAAUUUUCCAAUCCAUUGUCAAUAAAUCAAACUCUUAGAUUCAGAUUUUUUAAACUUUUUUGUUUAAAUAGACCUUUCUAAUAAAUUAUCAAAUAGAGAUAUCAAAAGACAUGGUAAUAUCUGUCAUGGGUUCUUACUUUCCUAAUCUGUUGUCAGAUAUCUCUUCCGAAGAUUGUAGGCACUAGGUGCCUGAAGUACUAAUAUCCCAACUCCAAAAUAGAUUGAUCCCAAAGUUUAAAAGUGUGCGUGUAUAUUGUAUUUAUAACCCAAUUCCAACAAUGUAGUGACUGUAUCUCCAAUUACUAUAUACCUGUAUAUUGACUUUUUGUAACUUUUUAAUAAAGCUUUUAGGUCUACGUUUGUCUCAGAAAUAUUUAUUGUUUAUCUAGUUGUUUUAAGUUUUUAAAUAAAACUUAUUAGUACAUUAUAAUGUGCUUGAUUCAUUGUGUGUUACAACCAUAAAAUAAAGAAUGAUUGUAUUACGAUUCUAAAAUGAUUCUAAUUACAAUGCAUUUUGUCAUAAAAUUGGUGACUUCAACUUAUGUGAGAACCCUUCAAAUUUUUAGAAAUGUAAAUUUAAAAAAAAAUAGCAGUCUAUAACUUAGAAUGUUUUACCUUUUUUUUGGGGGGUGUAUUUCUUUAUCUUGGUUAUCAGUGAAUUCAUUUUUUUUUCACAAGUGCUCACCAAUUACUUAUUCUCGAUCUCAACCAUCUUCUUCAGCUGACACCAUGCCAUCACUGCGGCUUGGGUCCAUGGGCGCAAAGAAAUAUUUUUUUUUGUAAUACAUUAAAAUUAGUUAAGCACAAAUAAAAUAAUUAUAAAAAAUACUUUUUUUAAAGAUUAUCUUGGGUUUAAUUGUAUCAAUU